CGCCGUAAACGAUGUCGACUUGGAGGUUGUGCCCUUGAGGCGUGGCUUCCGGAGCUAACGCGUUAAGUCGACCGCCUGGGGAGUACGGCCGCAAGGUUAAAACUCAAAUGAAUUGACGGGGGCCCGCACAAGCGGUGGAGCAUGUGGUUUAAUUCGAUGCAACGCGAAGAACCUUACCUGGUCUUGACAUCCACGGAAGUUUUCAGAGAUGAGAAUGUGCCUUCGGGAACCGUGAGACAGGUGCUGCAUGGCUGUCGUCAGCUCGUGUUGUGAAAUGUUGGGUUAAGUCCCGCAACGAGCGCAACCCUUAUCCUUUGUUGCCAGCGGUCCGGCCGGGAACUCAAAGGAGACUGCCAGUGAUAAACUGGAGGAAGGUGGGGAUGACGUCAAGUCAUCAUGGCCCUUACGACCAGGGCUACACACGUGCUACAAUGGCGCAUACAAAGAGAAGCGACCUCGCGAGAGCAAGCGGACCUCAUAAAGUGCGUCGUAGUCCGGAUUGGAGUCUGCAACUCGACUCCAUGAAGUCGGAAUCGCUAGUAAUCGUGGAUCAGAAUGCCACGGUGAAUACGUUCCCGGGCCUUGUACACACCGCCCGUCACACCAUGGGAGUGGGUUGCAAAAGAAGUAGGUAGCUUAACCUUCGGGAGGGCGCUUACCACUUUGUGAUUCAUGACUGGGGUGAAGUCGUAACAAGGUAACCGUAGGGGAACCUGCGGUUGGAUCACCUCCUUACCUUAAAGAAGC
RNAcentral lists this ribosomal RNA (747 nucleotides) under Escherichia coli. RNAcentral's name for it is "bacterial SSU rRNA". It matches the Rfam family "Bacterial small subunit ribosomal RNA", at positions 798 to 1533 of the family's 1533-position model. The record is from RNAcentral. Lineage: Bacteria; Pseudomonadati; Pseudomonadota; Gammaproteobacteria; Enterobacterales; Enterobacteriaceae.